CAGCAGCCGCGGGAAUACGGAGGGUGCAAGCGUUAAUCGGAAUUACUGGGCGUAAAGCGUGCGUAGGCGGUUCGUUAAGUCUGUUGUGAAAGCCCCGGGCUCAACCUGGGAAUGGCAAUGGAUACUGGCGAGCUAGAGUGUGUCAGAGGAUGGUGGAAUUCCCGGUGUAGCGGUGAAAUGCGUAGAGAUCGGGAGGAACAUCAGUGGCGAAGGCGGCCAUCUGGGACAACACUGACGCUGAGGCACGAAAGCGUGGGGAGCAAACAGGAUUAGAGACCCGGGUAGUCCCUGUCUCUUAUAC
RNAcentral lists this ribosomal RNA (301 nucleotides) under uncultured bacterium. RNAcentral describes it as "partial 16S ribosomal RNA". It matches the Rfam family "Bacterial small subunit ribosomal RNA", at positions 509 to 807 of the family's 1533-position model. The record is from RNAcentral.